AACAAAUUCAAUUCAGUUUACAAGCAACUUUCUCAUAAGAGAUACUCAUGAAAGCCCAAAUUUAAUUCAGCCAACCUAAAAUGCAAAAAGAAGAUACAGAGGUCAUGCUUACUUCUGCUGAAUUGAAAAUAAUUCAGCUUGCAAAUGAUAAUAAAUCAGCAGGAAAAGCAGCUAUUGAAGAUUAUUAUUAUAUGAAUAUAAUAUUCCUUUUUUUUCAACCCUUUAAAUAAACAUAAUUAAUAAAUCUAUUUUAGAUGAUUGUCAU
Gordionus sp. m RMFG-2023 is the source of this 265-nucleotide long non-coding RNA. RefSeq lists it as uncharacterized. The record is from RefSeq and is a predicted model, not a curated record. NCBI's taxonomy places the organism in Eukaryota, Metazoa, Nematomorpha, Gordioida, Chordodea, Parachordodidae. The transcript has 3 exons.